GACGAACGCUGGCGGCGUGCCUAACACAUGCAAGUCGAACGGAGAUGUUGAUUUCGGUUGACGUCUUAGUGGCGAACGGGUGAGUAACGCGUGAACAAUCUGACCUUAAGAGGGGGAUAACAACGAGAAAUCGUUGCUAAUACCGCAUAAGACCACAAUGCCGCAUGGCGAAGGGGUCAAAGGAGCAAUCCGCUUAAAGGAGGGGUUCGCGUCCCAUUAGGUAGUAGGUGAGGUAACGGCCCACCUAGCCGACGAUGGGUAGCCGAGCUGAGAGGCUGAUCGGCCACACUGGAACUGAGACACGGUCCAGACUCCUACGGGAGGCAGCAGUGGGGAAUAUUGGGCAAUGGGCGCAAGCCUGACCCAGCAACGCCACGUGAGGGAAGAAGGUUUUCGGAUUGUAAACCUCUGUCGCAGAUGACGAAACAAAUGACGGUAAUCUGUGAGGAAGCCCCGGCUAACUACGUGCCAGCAGCCGCGGUAAU
RNAcentral lists this ribosomal RNA (485 nucleotides) under uncultured bacterium. Its description in RNAcentral is "bacterial SSU rRNA". It matches the Rfam family "Bacterial small subunit ribosomal RNA", at positions 28 to 524 of the family's 1533-position model. The record is from RNAcentral.